AUUUUCGCUUCCCCAGGUCGCGGCGGCGGGAGCAACAAGCAGCGGCUCGUGAGUCCGCGGCUCGCACCCAGGGGCGCCCGCACGUGCGGCUAGAACGUCCGAGUCGGGGUCCGGGGCGGGGGGCGCAGGCCCGCGGCGGUAGGGGAGGAGAGCGGGCACCCGAGUCUCCAUCCUCAGGGUGGCCUGAAGGUUCCAGGAGGGCGUCCGGCGAAGGCACGGGGCUGCGACCAUCCAGUUAGCAGGGCUGGUGUGACUGUUGAGAGUAAAUGAAAAUUCGUUUUGUGACACCGACCACCUCCAAGGAAUGAAAGGAGCAGUCAGCCGAAACGACAGCAUUACUUGCGUCCUUACCUAAUUGGAACCUUAUCCGUGGCUGAGGGUGCCACCAUUGGAGGGGCCGCCGCCCCCUCUGACACCACCUGGCGCUCCGCUCCAUUUAGGAGCUAGAACGAAAAGGAGGCCCAUCCCCCAGUAAGUCACAGCCCACGCCAAGAUGAGUUCUGGAGCCUGUGCGACCGAAGUUUCUUCACCGCAGGGCGAGGUGGACAAGGGUGUGAGUUACUUUGACUUCAAGACGUCUCAGUGGCGGCUGGUUCUGGAGAGAGGCUUUAUGCUGGAGCACUUCCAGCAAAGUUCGGCUGGGGCCUCCUUAACUCACUGGCUGGUCACCCUUGGCCUCGGUUUUCAACCAAAGCCUAAGGCCUCAGUUUUCAACGCUGUAAAUGGAAAUAAAUGAGAGAAGAAAGUACAGCCCGUGUGACAAGUGCAGCAAGCAAUGCAACUUCCUUGGGACCUACCCUUUGUGGUCCCUUGCUUUAAAAGUAUAGAUUCACAUUUAGUUAGACCUGUUUCUUCCUCGCAUGCAAUUUCACCAGUCUUUUCCCAGACUUCUGUACUCAACAGAGGAAGUUCCUUCCUGGGAGACCAUAGCUGUUUGUAUGUAAAGAGUUGCGAAAAAACAAAAGCAAAACAAAAAACUCCAACACCUCUCUGUCACAGAAGUAUUGAAUUAUAUAGACUGGAAAAAUGGAAGUAUCCAAGAAAACGCGUGUGAAGAAACUGUUAGAGCACCCUGGGAUGUGUGGGCCUGGGACUGUUUGCCUUUGGCACGGCUAUGCUCCGAGCUUUGGAGGAGCCAAGGAAGAAAGGCCUAGUUCCUGAUCUUAAGGCCUUUGCAGUGUGCAUUGGGAGACAUAGACUGCAAUGAAAAGAUCAUUAUUGCAAGAGACAAAUGGCAUGGAGCCACAUUCCCAGAGACAGAGUUUCACCAUGUUGCCCAGGCUGGUCUCAAAC
RNAcentral lists this long non-coding RNA (1293 nucleotides) under Homo sapiens (human). RNAcentral's name for it is "HSALNT0324065". Lineage: Eukaryota; Metazoa; Chordata; Mammalia; Primates; Hominidae. The record is from RNAcentral.